CGACGUAGUUUGCGAGUUCGCUCGCCCACGGUACCGCCAAAAUUUCCUGGCUCCGUAAGCUCGAACACGAUCGAUCGAGGCGUCCUGAGGACUGCGUGAUUUAAAUUCGAUUCUGACGAAAGAGUACAGAAUCACGGGAGAAGGCGGAUCGUAUUACACCAAUGUUGCGAUUCAACAUCGUUCUGAACGAAGACGCGUCAGGGAAAUCGACUUACGAGAUGUUGCAAACACCAAGCGAUCUUGAACGAAUUCAAGGCUGCGGAGAGGACCACGUUGCAGCGAACGUUCAGCUUGCAGGUUCGAUUCCUUCGACUUUUGCAACCGUCUGUUUCAAAGAAUAUUUAGACACUAGCUCUAAGUGUUCAACGAUGAAGAUCUGUCAAGUUUGGUUUAUUCGGGACGAGGGAAGACGUUCUCCCUCAGACACGGGAUGAAUACCACACCGUCUACGUUCCUCCAUGGUCAGUGCUGAAACGCGUUGGGAAAGGUUAAGUUCCCGCAUGAUCGGAUGCGUUCGCGAGACGUCUGGAGACGGAUGAAGAGGUGUUGCGACAUACCUUCUUCUCCUUGGAGGAAUAAAAGAACAGUUGUAGACCAACCCGCACACCUUCGGUUCAAAAUAAGUCCUCGAUGAAAGUGAGCUUUUCUUGGAGGUACACCGCUCCAAUGUAGCAAGCUUGACAUGGUAUUUAAAACUGCUCGGAGAAAGAUACGAGAAGAGAAAGAGAGAGGAGAAAGUGAUAAAACCAGAGGCAGAGAAAAGGGGGAGGGACGUAUCCAUCGUACUCUCCACCAUGUUCCCGAACGACGGUUCGGUGUGUUUAUCGUGUACGAGUCUGCCAAAUAUAACCGAGAAGCGUGAAACGCGUGCGCCACGAGUGCACGAGUCGUCGUGGCUCGCGUGUUUAAAUGUUUUUAGGCGAGUAUCUAGCGGACUACCGUGGUCUUGCUUGCUUGGCUAGGCUCUCGCGGGCUUCGUUGUGUCGCCCCGUUGCUGCUGCGUGGCAAACGGCCAACAAAAACAAGUACAUGCGUAGGUGAUCUGCGUGUUAGGGUAAGUUCAGGCUUAGGUACAUUCUAUCCCGAUGUUUGUCACCGGUUGUUAAAACCGAAUGUAUCGCUACCGAUACAUAGUGGUACAGUGGUUCUUGCCACUUGAGUUAGGCCGAUAGAAACAGAAACAGUUGUUGGAAUGUGAUAUAGAAUUGAAAGAUUUGGACCUGAGGAUUGUUUUAAAAAAAUUU
Long non-coding RNA from Dufourea novaeangliae, 1244 nucleotides. RefSeq lists it as uncharacterized. Lineage: Eukaryota; Metazoa; Arthropoda; Insecta; Hymenoptera; Halictidae. The transcript has 3 exons. The record is from RefSeq and is a predicted model, not a curated record.